Molecule: long non-coding RNA, 196 nt
Organism: Asparagus officinalis (garden asparagus)
Lineage: Eukaryota; Viridiplantae; Streptophyta; Magnoliopsida; Asparagales; Asparagaceae
Exons: 3
Source: RefSeq, a predicted model, not a curated record
AGACUCGACAAAGCUCAAAUUGAGAGCCUAACCAAAUUUUGUUCUCAGAAGAUUCACAGGAGAUAUAAUGUUAUAGUAACAACCAACAGCAGUAUUAACAGGGAAGAGUUGUUAUAUGUGCUUCGUGGUGGCCGCCUUGACGACAAGGUGGAAGAAGCAGUUUUGGAAACGCUUAGCCAGGAGGCAUAUGACAAAG